This 343-nucleotide ribosomal RNA is filed under the name Escherichia coli. Its description in RNAcentral is "partial 23S ribosomal RNA". It matches the Rfam family "Bacterial large subunit ribosomal RNA", at positions 1 to 381 of the family's 2925-position model. Lineage: Bacteria; Pseudomonadati; Pseudomonadota; Gammaproteobacteria; Enterobacterales; Enterobacteriaceae. The record is from RNAcentral.
GUUAAGCGACUAAGCGUACACGGUGGAUGCCCUGGCAGUCAGAGGCGAUGAAGGACGUGCUAAUCUGCGAUAAGCGUCGGUAAGGUGAUAUGAACCGUUAUAACCGGCGAUUUCCGAAUGGGGAAACCCAGUGUGUUUCGACACACUAUCAUUAACUGAAUCCAUAGGUUAAUGAGGCGAACCGGGGGAACUGAAACAUCUAAGUACCCCGAGGAAAAGAAAUCAACCGAGAUUCCCCCAGUAGCGGCGAGCGAACGGGGAGCAGCCCAGAGCCUGAAUCAGUGUGUGUGUUAGUGGAAGCGUCUGGAAAGGCGCGCGAUACAGGGUGACAGCCCCGUACACA